CUUUUAUUUAUUAAUGCUCAAAUUCUUAAAUACUCAGUUAGAAAAAUGGCCUAUUUCAAAAGUAUAUGGGCAAGAGCAGCAAGCUUCCCAAAAGAGGAGCCUGAAACCUAAACCAACACCAUGACUGGGCAACAAGCCCACUCCUGGAGCCCACUCCUGGAGCUCAAUCAGUCACAUUCUUGUCUGAAAACAAAAGAACAGAGGUGAAAAUUCAAAUUCAUGUUGUAUCGUUCUCUAGCUCUUUUUGUCCUGGAAAGCCAGAGAGUUUCCAGACAUAACCUGGUUUCUGUUGCCUUUUAAUUUUAUAGAAAGCAAGAGUGAGGUAUGUCAAACUUCAGACAGCUGACUUGAUCAGAGAGCAUUUAUUAUUGGAAAUAACCACUUUAUCUCCUUAGAAUAAUUAAUAGUAGUAAUAACAGUAAUAGCUAGUAUUGAUAGAUCUUACCUUUCAGGUUUGCAUCUACAUGUGUGAUCUCAUUUGAUGAUUCUACUAUUAGCAAAGCCUUAAAAAACUUCCCCCCUCUUCUAUUGGGCAACCAAUUUUAGUGAUUUCAGAAUCAACAUUUGCCAUUUACAACUUCUAGUUCUUUCCAGUUAAAUGAUGCCAGGAUGAGUGAGGGUCACUGCCCAGCAGAGAUUUUUAGAUAACAGAAUUUAUGUAAUGAUCUCUAUGCUAUCUCAGUUGAUUCUUGCAACAAUCCAAUGAGAUAGGUGCCAUUAUUAUAGACAUUUUACAGAUGAAGAAACUGAGGCUGAGAGAGAGUAAGUGACAAGGUCACACAAAAAGUAAAUAUCUGAAGCUAGAUUCCAUUCACGUCUUCCUGGCUUCAAGAUUAAUAAUCUAUCCACCCUCUGUGCCAUCUUUGCUGCCCCUUGUUGAGAGACAAUAACCUGCUUCAAAUCUUGGCACUAUGAGAGGUGCUGGCUCCACCUGAGCAUGAUUAUUGUGACCUCACGUGUCCAGCAUUGGGGUAUUUUUAAGCCUCAUCUGACAUUUGGAACAUGGGGUGGAGGUGAGAGUGGGGAGGGGGGUGGCUGAGCCAGCCAUAGGAUUGACUCAGAAGAGUGUCACCUUUGGAGCCACCACCAUCCAACACCCACCUCAGGGAUUUUCUCUCCGAAUGUCGGUGUUUGCACCAGUUUCCUUGCUCUGCCAUGAUGAGGGAGCUUCCAAAUUCAGCCUCUGGUCUUUUGCUGGUGACAAACAGCUGAGGUUUUGUUUUCUUCAUCAGUCCAGAAAUUAAAGGCAGAGCAGAUAUUUCUUCCUCAAGUGGCAGCCAAUGAGAGGGAUUCGAUCUAGAUAAUCACAAUCCUGUCUUCAGGAAUGGAGAAGGUAAGCAUGCAGGAUUGAUCAAGAGUCUUGUUUUUAGUGGCAACCACUAGUGCCAGUUAAUGGAAGACUGAUGGAGAAGGGAAAAGGAGGAACCAG
RNAcentral lists this long non-coding RNA (1429 nucleotides) under Monodelphis domestica (gray short-tailed opossum). RNAcentral's name for it is "lncRNA (ENSMODG00000038994.1)". The record is from RNAcentral. Lineage: Eukaryota; Metazoa; Chordata; Mammalia; Didelphimorphia; Didelphidae.